This 67-nucleotide transfer RNA is filed under the name Lepidotrigona terminata. Its description in RNAcentral is "tRNA-Asn". The record is from RNAcentral. Lineage: Eukaryota; Metazoa; Arthropoda; Insecta; Hymenoptera; Apidae.
UAAAUUAAAGCCAAAAAAGAGGCAUUUUAUUGUUAAUAAAAAAAAUGAAUUUAAAUUUCUAAUUUAA